Long non-coding RNA from Salmo trutta (river trout), 1652 nucleotides. Ensembl annotates it as beta 3-glucosyltransferase. The record is from Ensembl. Lineage: Eukaryota; Metazoa; Chordata; Actinopteri; Salmoniformes; Salmonidae.
AGAGCGCGAGCCUGAGCCACACCAGAGGCGGGGAAGAUGACAACAAUCCCGUCCCCUUUAGUCCGAAAGAUUGUGGGUAAAGUAAAGCAUUCCAUUCCAAACACUGUCAAAGCCACACCGGAGGCUGUCAACAGCUUACUUCCACACACUUCAGCGUCUCUCCGUCUUACACGAUGAUCCCUGACAACCCAGAUAUCGGACACACAGUUGGUUUUUAUUUCAUUUUUCUGUCGUUCGUUCCUGUCAACAUUGUCACCGGCAGCACAAGACCAGGCUCCCAGAACCAGGAUUCAGAGGAAGUCCUCUAUGACAGCCAGCUAGACCUGCAAGAGAUAGUGUUUGUGAUCCAGAGCCAGAGUAACUCAUUCCACAUGAGUUGGGCGGAAAGACAGAGAGCAGACCUGUUACAACAGACUCAGAGCCUCACACAGACACCCCCUCCAGUCCUGCUCCUCCACAGUUUGACAGACAAUGAGGGAGACUGGAGCAUCCUUCCUCUGCUGCCUUACUUCUCCUCGUUGUUUGGGAAGAACUCGUCCUGGUUAGUGUUUCUGGAAGAGGAGACUAACGUCAAGGUGACCAAGCUGCUCCAGGCCCUCAGGAAGUUUGACAGGAGAAAAGAGUGGUUCCUGGGUAAACCUCUCCAUGACGAGGAGUCGACCAUCAUCCACCACUACGCCUUUGCAGAGAACCCCUCCAUCUUUAAAUACCCAGACUUCUCUGCUGCCUGGGCCCUUAGCAUCCCCCUGCUUGACAGAGAUGAUCCACUCAAGUCUGACUUCACUAUCGAUCUGAAGCAUGAGGUGGCUCUGUAUAUCUGGGAGAAUGGCCAAGGGCCUCGUCUGACGGCAGUCCCAGAGCUGUGUACUGAGCCAGAACACUCUCCCACUGCCCAACACUGUGCUACCACGCUCAGGAGACCUGCUCCCAUGUGUGGGGAGCCUGUAAAGAAGGAAGACAUCUUUGUUGCUGUGAAAACUUGCAAGAAGUUUCACAGUGAGAGAGUCCCAGUGGUGAAGAAGACGUGGGAGAGAGAGGCAUCUCUGUUGGAGUAUUACAGUGACCACACUGACCCCUCCAUACCUACCAUCGACCUAGGAGUCCCCAACACAGAGAGAGGUCAUUGUGGGAAGACGUUUGCCAUCUUGGAGAGGUAUAUCAGCGAUGCGGUGCCAAAGACGAGCUGGCUGCUGGUGGUGGAUGAUGACACACUCAUCAGCCUACCCAGACUGCACAUGCUGUUGAGCUGUUACGACCCCUCUGAACCGGUGUGUCUAGGGGAGAGGUACGGCUACGGGCUGGGCCAGGGAGGCUACAGCUACAUCACCGGAGGAGGGGGGAUGGUGUUCAGUAGGGCCGCGGUGGUGAGGCUCCUGGCCAGUGACUGCAAGUGUUACAGUAAUGACGCCCCUGAUGACAUGGUGCUGGGGAUGUGUCUCAACGCUCUGGGGCUCCCUGUCACACAUAGCUCCCUCUUCCACCAGGCACGACCUGAAGACUACUCCAGAGACUUCCUAGCCCACCAGGUGCCCAUCUCUUUCCACAAACACUGGAACAUCGACCCCGUCGCCGUCUUCAACAGGUGGCUAAAGGAUGAGUCGAUGUCAACAAGCCCACACGGACUAAACAAGAGCACCAAGGAAGAGUUAUAG